UGGGGAAUAUUGCACAAUGGGCGCAAGCCUGAUGCAGCCAUGCCGCGUGUGUGAAGAAGGCCUUCGGGUUGUAAAGCACUUUCAGCGGGGAGGAAGGCGAUAAGGUUAAUAACCUCAUCGAUUGACGUUACCCGCAGAAGAAGCACCGGCUAACUCCGUGCCAGCAGCCGCGGUAAUACGGAGGGUGCAAGCGUUAAUCGGAAUUACUGGGCGUAAAGCGCACGCAGGCGGUCUGUCAAGUCGGAUGUGAAAUCCCCGGGCUCAACCUGGGAACUGCAUUCGAAACUGGCAGGCUAGAGUCUUGUAGAGGGGGGUAGAAUUUCAGGUGUAGCGGUGAAAUGCGUAGAGAUCUGGAGGAAUACCGGUGGCGAAGGCGGCCCCCUGGACAAAGACUGACGCUCAGGUGCGAAAGCGUGGGGAGCAAACAGG
This 429-nucleotide ribosomal RNA is filed under the name Chloroflexota bacterium. Its description in RNAcentral is "Chloroflexi bacterium partial 16S ribosomal RNA". It matches the Rfam family "Bacterial small subunit ribosomal RNA", at positions 355 to 776 of the family's 1533-position model. Lineage: Bacteria; Bacillati; Chloroflexota. The record is from RNAcentral.